UACGUAGGUGGCAAGCGUUGUCCGGAUUUAUUGGGCGUAAAGCGAGCGCAGGCGGUUCCUUAAGUCUGAUGUGAAAGCCCACGGCUCAACCGUGGAAGGUCAUUGGAAACUGGGGAACUUGAGUGCAGAAGAGGAGAGUGGAAUUCCAUGUGUAGCGGUGAAAUGCGUAGAUAUAUGGAGGAACACCAGUGGCGAAGGCGACUCUCUGGUCUGUAACUGACGCUGAGGCUCGAAAGCGUGGGUAGCAAACAGG
This 253-nucleotide ribosomal RNA is filed under the name uncultured bacterium. RNAcentral describes it as "partial 16S ribosomal RNA". It matches the Rfam family "Bacterial small subunit ribosomal RNA", at positions 524 to 776 of the family's 1533-position model. The record is from RNAcentral.